GGGGAUGCACCGGUUUCGACUGGGGCUUGUUGGUAAAGAGAAGCGUGCCGCAGGGUUGGCUGCGUCAAAAACACGCCUAAAAAUUAAACGCAAACAAUAAUGCGGGAUAUCCCGCAGCUAUUGCCGCUUAAAAUUUAGCGGCAUGUCCUGCCCGCCUUACCCAAAGAGGCGAAACAGGGCACAAUCAAAUUUGGGGUACUGUAAGGGCCUUUGCCCCGCGGCCUUUGCGGAAUUUAAGGGGCUGCAGGCGAGCGGCUGUGCCGGCUGUAGUCGCCAGCCCAAAGUAUAAGCACCGGCUACGCACGUAGAAGGCUUUAUGGGCAGGUCUCAGGACGGGGGUUCGACUCCCCCCAUCUCCACCA
This 362-nucleotide transfer-messenger RNA is filed under the name Clostridiales bacterium. It matches the Rfam family "transfer-messenger RNA". Rfam says of the family: Bacterial tmRNA, also known as 10Sa RNA or SsrA, is named for its dual tRNA and mRNA-like properties. Its role is to liberate the mRNA from a stalled ribosome. To accomplish this part of the tmRNA is used as a reading frame that ends in a translation stop signal. The record is from RNAcentral. Lineage: Bacteria; Bacillati; Bacillota; Clostridia; Eubacteriales. RNAcentral also lists the same sequence under 1 other name.